RNAcentral lists this ribosomal RNA (253 nucleotides) under uncultured bacterium. Its description in RNAcentral is "partial 16S ribosomal RNA". It matches the Rfam family "Bacterial small subunit ribosomal RNA", at positions 524 to 776 of the family's 1533-position model. The record is from RNAcentral.
UACGGAGGGGGCAAGCGUUAUCCGGAUUCAUUGGGUUUAAAGGGAGCGUAGGUGGCCUUAUAAGUCAGUGGUGAAAUCUCUGGGCUUAACUCAGAAAUUGCCAUUGAUACUGUAGGGCUUGAGUAUAGUUGCCGUUGGCGGAAUAUGACAUGUAGUGGUGAAAUACAUAGAGAUGUCAUAGAACACCGAUUGCGAAGGCAGCUGACGAAACUAUAACUGACACUGAGGCUCGAAAGUGCGGGGAUCAAACAGG